This 211-nucleotide ribosomal RNA is filed under the name uncultured Planctomycetales bacterium. RNAcentral's name for it is "partial 16S ribosomal RNA". It matches the Rfam family "Bacterial small subunit ribosomal RNA", at positions 457 to 667 of the family's 1533-position model. The record is from RNAcentral. Lineage: Bacteria; Pseudomonadati; Planctomycetota; Planctomycetia; Planctomycetales.
UAGCCUGUCGGUUUGACAAAGGCCCCGGAGGAAGCCACGGCUAACUUCGUGCCAGCAGCCGCGGUAAUACGAAGGUGGCAAGCGUUGUUCGGAAUUACUGGGCAUAAAGGGUGCGUAGGCGGAUCGGCAAGUCGGUGGUGAAAGCCCUCGGUUCAACCGAGGAAGUGCUGUCGAAACUGCUGGUCUCGAGGACAGGAGGGGAGAGUGGAAC